GACGAACGCUGGCCGCGUGCUUAACACAUGCAAGUCGAACGGAAAGGCCCUUCGGGGUACUCGAGUGGCGAACGGGUGAGUAACACGUGGGUGAUCUGCCCUGCACUUUGGGAUAAGCCUGGGAAACUGGGUCUAAUACCGAAUAGGACCGCGCGCUUCAUGGUGUGUGGUGGAAAGCUUUUGCGGUGUGGGAUGGGCCCGCGGCCUAUCAGCUUGUUGGUGGGGUAAUGGCCUACCAAGGCGACGACGGGUAGCCGGCCUGAGAGGGUGACCGGCCACACUGGGACUGAGAUACGGCCCAGACUCCUACGGGAGGCAGCAGUGGGGAAUAUUGCACAAUGGGCGCAAGCCUGAUGCAGCGACGCCGCGUGAGGGAUGACGGCCUUCGGGUUGUAAACCUCUUUCACCAGGGACGAAGCGCAAGUGACGGUACCUGGAGAAGAAGCACCGGCCAACUACGUG
RNAcentral lists this ribosomal RNA (462 nucleotides) under uncultured bacterium. Its description in RNAcentral is "partial 16S ribosomal RNA". It matches the Rfam family "Bacterial small subunit ribosomal RNA", at positions 28 to 507 of the family's 1533-position model. The record is from RNAcentral.